This is a non-coding RNA of Erythranthe guttata (spotted monkey flower), 1597 nucleotides long. The record is from RefSeq and is a predicted model, not a curated record. Lineage: Eukaryota; Viridiplantae; Streptophyta; Magnoliopsida; Lamiales; Phrymaceae.
CUUCUAAUUUAUUACAUGUGGUUCUCAGAGAGAAUCAAAUAAAAUGCACUCUAUGGGACCAAUACGCCGAUCAAAUGUCUUUGCAUAUUAGUAAUCAAAACUCAGCUGACCCAAUCAUCAUUAUUCUGGAGAUGUGUCUGGUCAAAAGUUUUAAUGGUAAUUCCUAUCUUUAGUUACAUUUAAAUAUUGCAUUAAAGUUUCACUUCAUUUUAUUAAUUCACAUAUUUAUUUUAUUUUGUAGGUCAGAAUAGUAUUUCUAAUGCUUUCCACAACUCAAGAUUGUUGAUAAAUGAAAACUCCGAGGAACAUAGGGCGUACAGAGAAAAACUCAUUAGGCAAGAUGGCACAUUUACACAAUCAAUCAGCGUGUCAUCAAAUCAUCGAUCGACGGGGAUUGCAGAUGAUUUGUUGCUAACGAAGCAAAUGACGAUAAAUAAUUUGAGAGAUUGCACUACUGUAAGUAAAUUAUUUCUCCUCGACUUAUUUUACAAAUUUGACAAAACUAAUUGUAAAUUAUAUUUUUAGGAACGCGCUGUUGUUGUACUUGCCAAGGUAAUUGAUAUCGAUCCAGAUACCAAAUGGUGGUAUGAUGCCUGUCCUAAAUGUUUCAGAAAGGUAGAGCAAACAAGUACACAAUUUUGUUGCCCAAAAUGUCCUAAGGAUAUUGAUCCAAUCCCACGGUAAUUUUAAUAAAUGAACUGAUUUUUUUUUUUUUACGUAUUUAUUAUAGCAUUAUUAUUAUAAUUUAUUUUAUAUAUAUUAUUUAUAGAAAAACUCAGUUUGUCAGCACUUGAACAAUUUAAAAUAGAUGCAAGUAUUACUCUUAGUAGCAAAAAGUCUUCCAUAAUUCAUUAUUUUUUUCCAAAUUAUCGGAAGAAAGUAAUUAAAAUAUUUUCUAUAAUUCAUUAUUUUUUUCCAAAAUGGGCUAAGGAUGUUGAUCCAAUGCCACGGUAAUUUAAUCUUCCAUAAUUGGAGUUGCCCUAUAACUAUAAGUAUGGUGUUUCACAAGUUCAUACAUACAGGUAUAGGCUUCAAGUACUGGUAUUUGAUACUAUUGGAUCCACUAAGUUUGUCAUGUUUGAUAAAUUCGUUUGCAAAAUCGUGGGCAAAUCAGCAACCGAACUUAUUGGUGACGUGCAUAAGGUAAUAUAAAAACCACUUUCAUAUGGAAUGCUGAAUUACUUCUAUUUAUAUUUAAUUUUCAAAAAAUCCUUGAUCAUUGCUUUUUGGUAGGAUAAUUUGACCGAUACAAUUCCUAAAGAAUUUGAUGCCAUCAUCAACAAAGAAUUUAUGUUCAAGGUCGAAAUCAGUGCGAUGAACAUAUCAAAAAGUUGGUCAGUUUAUACUGUAAAAACAAUGACGGGUGAUCACGAACUUAUUCGACAGUUUCGUGUUAUGCAUUCUAUCGAGGUAUAAGGCCACAAAUAUAGUUUAUAUGUUGCAUCAUAAAAUUAUAUUAAUUUUUGUUAACUACAAGAAUUUGUUGAUGAGGAUGAACACUCAUCCGACAACAAUGCUCAACAGCAAGGCGACAAUUUGGAUGAUUUUGUCGAACCCGAUGAUGAGACGACUCCAAUCAGUAAAUUACGUGGUAAAG